This 1461-nucleotide ribosomal RNA is filed under the name Salmonella enterica subsp. enterica serovar Kentucky. RNAcentral's name for it is "bacterial SSU rRNA". It matches the Rfam family "Bacterial small subunit ribosomal RNA". Lineage: Bacteria; Pseudomonadati; Pseudomonadota; Gammaproteobacteria; Enterobacterales; Enterobacteriaceae. The record is from RNAcentral.
GCUGACGAGUGGCGGACGGGUGAGUAAUGUCUGGGAAACUGCCUGAUGGAGGGGGAUAACUACUGGAAACGGUGGCUAAUACCGCAUAACGUCGCAAGACCAAAGAGGGGGACCUUCGGGCCUCUUGCCAUCAGAUGUGCCCAGAUGGGAUUAGCUUGUUGGUGAGGUAACGGCUCACCAAGGCGACGAUCCCUAGCUGGUCUGAGAGGAUGACCAGCCACACUGGAACUGAGACACGGUCCAGACUCCUACGGGAGGCAGCAGUGGGGAAUAUUGCACAAUGGGCGCAAGCCUGAUGCAGCCAUGCCGCGUGUAUGAAGAAGGCCUUCGGGUUGUAAAGUACUUUCAGCGGGGAGGAAGGUGUUGUGGUUAAUAACCGCAGCAAUUGACGUUACCCGCAGAAGAAGCACCGGCUAACUCCGUGCCAGCAGCCGCGGUAAUACGGAGGGUGCAAGCGUUAAUCGGAAUUACUGGGCGUAAAGCGCACGCAGGCGGUCUGUCAAGUCGGAUGUGAAAUCCCCGGGCUCAACCUGGGAACUGCAUUCGAAACUGGCAGGCUUGAGUCUUGUAGAGGGGGGUAGAAUUCCAGGUGUAGCGGUGAAAUGCGUAGAGAUCUGGAGGAAUACCGGUGGCGAAGGCGGCCCCCUGGACAAAGACUGACGCUCAGGUGCGAAAGCGUGGGGAGCAAACAGGAUUAGAUACCCUGGUAGUCCACGCCGUAAACGAUGUCUACUUGGAGGUUGUGCCCUUGAGGCGUGGCUUCCGGAGCUAACGCGUUAAGUAGACCGCCUGGGGAGUACGGCCGCAAGGUUAAAACUCAAAUGAAUUGACGGGGGCCCGCACAAGCGGUGGAGCAUGUGGUUUAAUUCGAUGCAACGCGAAGAACCUUACCUGGUCUUGACAUCCACAGAACUUUCCAGAGAUGGACUGGUGCCUUCGGGAACUGUGAGACAGGUGCUGCAUGGCUGUCGUCAGCUCGUGUUGUGAAAUGUUGGGUUAAGUCCCGCAACGAGCGCAACCCUUAUCCUUUGUUGCCAGCGGUUAGGCCGGGAACUCAAAGGAGACUGCCAGUGAUAAACUGGAGGAAGGUGGGGAUGACGUCAAGUCAUCAUGGCCCUUACGACCAGGGCUACACACGUGCUACAAUGGCGCAUACAAAGAGAAGCGACCUCGCGAGAGCAAGCGGACCUCAUAAAGUGCGUCGUAGUCCGGAUUGGAGUCUGCAACUCGACUCCAUGAAGUCGGAAUCGCUAGUAAUCGUGGAUCAGAAUGCCACGGUGAAUACGUUCCCGGGCCUUGUACACACCGCCCGUCACACCAUGGGAGUGGGUUGCAAAAGAAGUAGGUAGCUUAACCUUCGGGAGGGCGCUUACCACUUUGUGAUUCAUGACUGGGGUGAAGUCGUAACAAGGUAACCGUAGGGGAACCUGCGGUUGGAUCACCUCCUUACCUUAAAGAAGC